Molecule: ribosomal RNA, 248 nt
Filed under: uncultured Actinomycetes bacterium
Lineage: Bacteria; Bacillati; Actinomycetota; Actinomycetes
Description: uncultured actinobacterium partial 16S ribosomal RNA
Rfam family: Bacterial small subunit ribosomal RNA
Source: RNAcentral
GACGAACGCUGGCGGCGUGCUUAACACAUGCGAGUCGAGCGGUAAGGCCCUUUCGGGGGUACACGAGCGGCGAACGGGUGAGUAACACGUGGGUGACCUGCCCUCAGCUCUGGGAUAAGCCUGGGAAACCGGGUCUAAUACUGGAUAUGACUCCAUGACGCAUGUUGUGGGGUGGAAAGCCUUGUGCGGCUGAGGAUGGGCCCGUGGCCUAUCAGCUUGUUGGUGGGGUGGAUGGCCUACCAAGGCGA